UACGUAGGGUGCAAGCGUUAAUCGGAAUUACUGGGCGUAAAGCGUGCGCAGGCGGUUUUGCAAGACAGAUGUGAAAUCCCCGGGCUUAACCUGGGAACUGCAUUUGUGACUGCAAGGCUAGAGUGUGUCAGAGGGAGGUGGAAUUCCGCGUGUAGCAGUGAAAUGCGUAGAGAUGCGGAGGAACACCGAUGGCGAAGGCAGCCUCCUGGGAUAACACUGACGCUCACGCACGAAAGCGUGGGGAGCAAACAGG
Molecule: ribosomal RNA, 253 nt
Filed under: uncultured bacterium
Lineage: Bacteria
Description: partial 16S ribosomal RNA
Rfam family: Bacterial small subunit ribosomal RNA
Source: RNAcentral